CAAAUUAAAGCUUAAUAAAUAAAGCAUUUUAUUUACAUUAAAAAGAAGUCGUGUAAAUCGAUAUAAUUUGA
RNAcentral lists this transfer RNA (71 nucleotides) under Sphaerius sp. BT0074. RNAcentral's name for it is "tRNA-Val". The record is from RNAcentral. Lineage: Eukaryota; Metazoa; Arthropoda; Insecta; Coleoptera; Sphaeriusidae.